Molecule: non-coding RNA, 196 nt
Organism: Procambarus clarkii (red swamp crayfish)
Lineage: Eukaryota; Metazoa; Arthropoda; Malacostraca; Decapoda; Cambaridae
Source: RefSeq, a predicted model, not a curated record
AGGGUCAGUGCACACAGGUUCGUGUCGAGUUCCUGGAUGAAUCUCACCGUUCUAUCAUCCGCAAUGUGAAAGGACCUGUACGUGAAGGGGAUAUCCUUACACUACUAGAAUCCGAACGUGAGGCCAGGAGAUUGAGGUGAUUUGGUGAGAUGCCUUCUUCUGAUGGACUAAGAAAUAAACUACUGUAUUAAGAAAA